This 229-nucleotide ribosomal RNA is filed under the name uncultured bacterium. RNAcentral describes it as "partial 16S ribosomal RNA". It matches the Rfam family "Bacterial small subunit ribosomal RNA", at positions 568 to 796 of the family's 1533-position model. The record is from RNAcentral.
CACGUAGGCGGGACUAUCAGUUUGAGGUGAAAACUUGCGGCUUAACCGUAAGUCUGCCUUGAAUACUGUUGUUCUUGAGUUCGGAAGAGGGAAGUGGAAUUCCUGGUGUAGCGGUGAAAUGCGUAGAUAUCAGGAAGAACACCGGUGGCGAAGGCGGCUUCCUGGUCCGAUACUGACGCUGAUGUGCGAAAGCGUGGGGAGCGAACAGGAUUAGAUACCCUGGUAGUCC